GGAUGUGAAAGUGAUCUCGUUGCGACAUCUGUCAUCCCAUUGAUCACCAGGGUUGAUUUGGCUAAUCUGGCUAUCUAGGCUGGUGUCCCCUUCCUCCCUCACUGCUCCAUGUGCGUCCCUCCCAAAGCAGUGCACUUGGUCAAGGAUGGCCUUCCCCAGAUAGAGAUGGACCGGUCUUCGGUGGAGGGUAUCAGAGUAGCUGCACUCCCCUGCUAGAACCUCCAGACAAGUUCUCAAGUACAUGUGCAUGUCAAAACACUGGAUCAGCACUAAUGUCAUGGUGUCUUCCCUCUCUUUGUCACUUUCUAUGUCCUU
This 315-nucleotide small nuclear RNA is filed under the name Erinaceus europaeus (western European hedgehog). Its description in RNAcentral is "7SK RNA". It matches the Rfam family "7SK RNA". From Rfam's summary of the family: 7SK was discovered as an abundant small nuclear RNA in the mid-70s but a possible function has only recently been suggested. Two independent studies have found that 7SK RNA binds the CDK9/cyclin T complex (known as elongation factor P-TEFb). Lineage: Eukaryota; Metazoa; Chordata; Mammalia; Eulipotyphla; Erinaceidae. The record is from Rfam by way of RNAcentral.